This is a long non-coding RNA of Ahaetulla prasina, 1415 nucleotides long. RefSeq lists it as uncharacterized. Lineage: Eukaryota; Metazoa; Chordata; Lepidosauria; Squamata; Colubridae. The transcript is spliced from 3 exons. The record is from RefSeq and is a predicted model, not a curated record.
CUUUCUUUUUGUGAUGAUAAGCUUACCACUAGAUUCAUGGGAAGGGGCAGAGUGGAAGUACUUUUUUCUUUUUCUUUUAUAAGAAUAUGGAACUGCUUGGGCCUUGUUUAUGCAGUGUAAUUGACAAGAGCAUUGUCAAUUUCUCCUUCCAUUCUAAAUGACAACAAGAUGAUGCAUUGCAGUGACCUAUCCACUAGUGCAGGGAUUACCAAUCCCCGGUGAGCGAACCGGUAUCAGUCCACGGCCCAUUGGGAACUGGGGUGCACAAGCGGUGGGCGAUCUCCCAAAACUUCAUUUGCGCAAGCGGCAGGAGAAAGAGGAAAAUGGAGUGUACAAUUUCACUCGGGAACUGGCGAAUUUCAUGGCAGGCAAUUACUCGAAUCCAAAUUGAUGCCGAAGAAUUCUGCAACCAAGGAGAAAGGUUCCAAUUGGUGAUCCAGCCCCUUUCUGCUUUUUGCUUCUGCUCAAACAAUGUUCAUUUGCAAUACAUUACAUCGGAGCAAGUCCCAGAGAGUUUAGUGAACUGAAUAGACAUUUAUGGGCUUACACUGGUAAUUUGCUACAGUUGGCAGCAUCUACACAGGCUGGAGACAGAGGUUGGGAAGAAAGGAGAUGUCACGCGGUAAGAGAUGAAGGCAACGCUUCUUAAAUUACAUUGCUCUCCAACUGCUCACAAUUCACUGACAAGCCUAUUGUUUCUUUCUUUUAAAAAAAAUCAAAGCAGAUUUAAAUGGAGCUGGGAAGGGUUGAGAAAAGAUGGUAAACCUUGCUGUCAUAUUUAAUUACAUACCACUCUGCUACUUUAUUAGGAGAGAAAAAACAUAGCAUGGUUAGAGUAAAAGUGGAGCAUAAAAAUGAGAUGAUGGCGGGGGAGAACACCUACAGACUGAUAAUAGUAUUAAAAUUACUGUAAAAUACUGAGGUCACCUUCCCUAGCCUUAAAAACUUAUUUUAAAAAGCUGGGAAAAGGGAUGAAGAAAAAAAUGCCAAUGGAUGAAGAAUGCACAGGCUUGUUUGUUUCAGGCAUAUCUAGCCUUUUGACUAAAGGGGAACAUAGAUGGUACGUGCACACACACAAACGAUAUAUACAUAUGCUUUAAUGGAUGCAUUUCUCAUCAGCGAUCUUCACUGAUGUGUUUUAAAUGCAAAUGUGGGUGUUUGUGUGUGUGAGAUGCGAUAAGAAACAAAGUCAAGACUCACAAACACACACAUGUGUAUGCAGUGGUGGGAUUCAAAUAAUUUAACAACCGCUUCUCUGCUUUAAUGAUUUCUUCCAAACAACCAGUUCACCAAACUGCUCAGAAAGUUAACAACUGGUUCUCCCAAAGUGGUGCGAACUGGCUGAAUCCCACCACUGUGUGUACGUAUAAGUAUAUGCAUAUAUAUAUAUUUGUUUUCAUAGGUUUUCAUGGGUA